This 170-nucleotide unclassified non-coding RNA is filed under the name uncultured fungus. RNAcentral describes it as "sequence contains ITS1". Lineage: Eukaryota; Fungi. The record is from RNAcentral.
UUAAUUUAUUCUUUACAUUUACCCGACGCAAAGAUGCAGAGUUGUGUGGUCCUCCGGGGGCUCCGUGAGGCAGUCCCCCGAGGCAACAGCGGGCGGUAAUCAAAGGGUUGGAGGUCGGGCCUUGCGGCCCUCACUCGGUAAUGAUCCCUCCGCAGGUUCACCUACGGAGA